Molecule: non-coding RNA, 3355 nt
Organism: Macaca mulatta (Rhesus monkey)
Lineage: Eukaryota; Metazoa; Chordata; Mammalia; Primates; Cercopithecidae
Source: RefSeq, a predicted model, not a curated record
UUUUCCCCGAACUUUGGUAGAUAUAUUUUUCUUAGAUUGCUUCACUGUGCAAUUCUAUUCUUUUGGAAUCAUCUUAUUGGAGCUAAAACUGGAGAACUGGUAGAUGGAAAUUUACCUUGACAAUUCACUGAUCAAGCACCCUCAGAGGACCCAGUGCUUUGGAAAGGGUUUUAAAAAAACAGCUUCUCAGCAUGGUUAGAAACAAAGCUGGUGGGUUCAUAUUAUUUUCUCCUCCUUCCAAACCACAAGCAGGAUUUCAUUUGACAAUUUACAUGCUUCUCACCACUCCUGGAUCGGGUCAGUGUAAAGGAACUUCUAGUAGAGAAGGGAUGUGAUGCCAGCUCUCUGAAACGCUUUCCUGUAAGUGAGAAAAAACAUCUUUGUCUCAAGCUUCAUUAUUCCUAAGAAAGGCGGCUUAUUACGCUGCAUUCAGAACGAGCUGAUGUGAUUUCAUGUUUGUAUAAAUAACACUUUGGCUUCAUCUCACCUGCGUUUUCUAGAAAUCUUCAUUCUGCUUCCUUAGAUUUUGGGCUAAAACCUUCAUAACACACUAUGGGAGAAAACAAACAAAUACUUUUCUACAUUUCUUCAUUGGUUCAUUUUAUAACUACACCGUGGAGACUCUCGCUAAGCUGUUCAGAGAAAUCGGAGGACAGACAGCCUUGGUGCCACAUCUGAGACCUUUGCUUACAGUAGCUGACCUGCUCAACAUGGCCCUAACUUGUUUACCUAAUAGAAUAUUACGAUACAAGUAUGAAUUCAGAAUUUCCUUGCCCACUUCCCAAUCUUUCUGAUGAUUAUUAGUAGUCUGUGAAGGUUUUCAGGUGGCCCACAAUCUAUCUCUUAUAUCAAGUAAAGAAAUGUAUUCUUGAUAUAGAUCAAUCGUCAGUAAAGAAAGAGCAAAGGCUUUGGAUUCAGACAGACUUGAACUUGACUUUCAGCAAGUUGUUGUGUGGUUGAAAAGUGUCACUUAUGAUGUGCUCAGUGCUGUGGUUGGCAUAUAGUAGACAGGUCAGAGGUAGUAACAGGUAUUGUAAUGAAAAUCCAAAUUGCCAGUGUGGAACAUUAUCUUAGAGCCUGCCUUUUCCAACAAGAUUUUUUGCAGGAGAUAUUCACAGGAGUUUGGUGCUCUGUUAUUUCUAUUAACAAGCUGGAUCUUGGCAGUGUAUGUGAGCUUUAGGGUCAGGGAAGGGGCACUGUGGAGAGGCAUGGACUUCAUAGCCCCAGGUGAUGAAUCCAUCUUCAUUCCUUCCCCUGUGUGCUACCCCCACUGCCACCAUGGCUGAGGAAGCCCACAGAAUUACCAAGGAAUACGUGUUGAUAUCUCAUAGCAGAUUUGGCCCAUCUGUUAUCUCCAAGAAGGGCAUUCUGAGAGGACAAAACUUGCUCAAUACUCUAAAUUGAGAAAGAAAAAACGAAAACACCACCUAGUUUAUUUAGACAAAAUUAUCAACUGAAACCCAGCAGGCUAACAAUGCCCAUCCCUUGUGAGAAAGAUACUCCAAAGGGUUUUGGAGACUUAGAAAACAUGUUUUUUAUCUUGCUCUUGAGAAUUUUAUGAUUUGGUGGAAGGUGAUUCCCUGUUUUAAACAAAGACGAAUAAAAGUACCAAUCUGUACUUACGUGCCUAUGUAACUUUGCCAGUGGGCAGUGCUUAAGCUGAAUGCAGAUAGUAAAGGAAACAAGAUUAUGCAAGGACUGGCUGGUGGUGAACUUCUCAACUGCCUUCAGAGUAUUGUUCAGGAUUGUCUGAGUAGUUUCUUAAGUGUCAUAGUUUUGUUCAGCAUUACUGAUGCCAAAGACAAAAGGAGAACCAGUAAGGAAAUUGAUUCUAUUCAGGCUAUUACAACAAGGAGUGCACACCAGGUCCAAAAAUCAGAAUGCCUUAGCACAGUGGUUUUGCCCUCGACUGUCACAGGGAGGAACACAGCAUGAUUUACAGUUGGGGGUAUUGUGCAAUUAGGUGGAGUCCCAGGCACUUAGCUGAACAGGAGAUGUUUAUCUCUUUGUCUAGCCAGUUUCAGGGGGAAGGACAGUUCUGGUCUUAAGCUAAUCAUUUAUGAGAUAAAGAACAACAAGGUGGAGGGUCUGUGUCUGGCCUUUUCAGCUGGUUCAGGAAAAAGGAAGGUCUGUGUUUGGCCUCAUCAUCAACCAGGGGGUCAUCCAUGUCUUAUGGGAGUCAUGGGAAACAGUGGACAAGCAGUGUUACCUCAGUCCCAUGGGAAAAGGUGGUUCUUGGUGCUGAGCCACUUCCUGAAACACAGAAGUUGGAAGAGAUUUCUGAAAACCAAAAUUAUGGGGAUGGAUUCCUUAGGCAUUACUGUUCCACAGAAGCAUAGGACUCAGACAUGGUGUCAGAAACGUCAUCCUGAAGACAGACAAUUCUGUGCAUCAAAGUUUUCUUGUCCCACUGUGCAUUCAAGGGAGACUUAAAUGGAGUUGUAAAUAUUUUGAUUAAGCUAACCAAGGGUCACAUAUAAUUUCUGAAAACGCAGGUAUCAAAUACUUGAUGGAUUUAGAGAAUGUGUGUACAUGGAGCAAAGAGGAGAGUUGAAACUAUGAACAGCAAAUUCUUGAUUCUCUAAUAUGAAGAAGGAUGUGGGUAGCACAGAAUGUAUUUUAACAAACAGGAAGCCUGUGAUUGAAUCUUACUUUGUCUAACAAUUUGAUGAAAGUCUCUGGGUCUCAGUCAUAUUGUCCACAAAAUUUGGCAAGCACUAUUGUCAGGAUUGUUAUAACGUUAAAACAGAAAACAAAUGUGAAUAUAUUUUGAAUAUUUUAAAACGCUCUGCAUAUAUUUUUAAACAUUCAAGUACUAUCAAUUAAUGUGAUUACGAACAUUUAUUGUAUUCAAUUGUGUCUUUAUAUUGGAUGAUACGGAAUAUAUGUAAACUUCACUGUUUAAAAAAAAAUCUCAAACUGAAAUGUAAAAGGGCAACUUUUCUUCACAAUUUUAUACUAUGUGUCAGACUCCUUUUGUUCUUUAUAGGUUCCUGUCUAUCAAAAGCAAAUGAAAGUUCUCCAAGGUACACAUUCCCAGGGGCACAGGUUGAGCCAUUCCUUGAAAGUUACUGCCUUGGCAAGCUUGUAACCAAGAGGAAUAUAUGCUGUCUAAGCUGUCAUUCUUUGCCCUUUAGGGUUAGGCUGGAGGUGAGAGAACUAAUUUGGAGUCACCUCUUCUCUUCAGCUGGCCCAAACACUUUCAUUUUGGAUCUUUUAUGUCGUAAUUUCCACUUCCCUCAGUGCUCUUGGAGUCAGACAUCUUACGAUUACAUGUUUUGUAGCAAUGCUUUUAGUUCUUUCUAUUAUUGCUGGUGGCCUGAUUAAGUGGUCGAAAUAAUAAAAUCCAAAGAAA